AUUGAACGCUGGCGGCAGGCCUAACACAUGCAAGUCGAGCGGAUGAAGGGAGCUUGCUCCUGGAUUCAGCGGCGGACGGGUGAGUAAUGCCUAGGAAUCUGCCUGGUAGUGGGGGGUAACGUCCGGAAACGGGCGCUAAUACCGCAUACGUCCUGAGGGAGAAAGUGGGGGAUCUUCGGACCUCACGCUAUCAGAUGAGCCUAGGUCGGAUUAGCUAGUUGGUGGAGUAAAGGCCUACCAAGGCGACGAUCCGUAACUGGUCUGAGAGGAUGAUCAGUCACACUGGAACUGAGACACGGUCCAGACUCCUACGGGAGGCAGCAGUGGGGAAUAUUGGACAAUGGGCGAAAGCCUGAUCCAGCCAUGCCGCGUGUGUGAAGAAGGUCUUCGGAUUGUAAAGCACUUUAAGUUGGGAGGAAGGGCAGUAAGUUAAUACCUUGCUGUUUUGACGUUACCAACAGAAUAAGCACCGGCUAACUUCGUG
RNAcentral lists this ribosomal RNA (484 nucleotides) under uncultured bacterium. Its description in RNAcentral is "partial 16S ribosomal RNA". It matches the Rfam family "Bacterial small subunit ribosomal RNA", at positions 30 to 507 of the family's 1533-position model. The record is from RNAcentral.